GACGAACGCUGGCGGCGUGUUUAACACAUGCAAGUCGAACGAUGACGACCGAGCUUGCUCGGUCUGAUUAGUGGCGAACGGGUGAGUAACACGUGAGCAACCUGCCCUUCACUCUGGGAUAACCUCGGGAAAUCGGGGCUAAUACCGGAUAUGAGCUCCUGUCGCAUGGCGGGUGUUGGAAAGUUUUUCGGUGAAGGAUGGGUUCGCGGCCUAUCAGUUUGUUGGUGAGGUAGUGGCUCACCAAGGCGAUGACGGGUAGCCGGCCUGAGAGGGCGACCGGCCACACUGGGACUGAGACACGGCCCAGACUCCUACGGGAGGCAGCAGUGGGGAAUAUUGCACAGUGGGCGAAAGCCUGAUGCAGCGACGCCGCGUGAGGGAUGACGGCCUUCGGGUUGUAAACCUCUUUCAGCAGGGAAGAAGCGAAAGUGACGGUACCUGCAGAAGAAGCGCCGGCUAACUACGUG
Molecule: ribosomal RNA, 467 nt
Filed under: uncultured bacterium
Lineage: Bacteria
Description: partial 16S ribosomal RNA
Rfam family: Bacterial small subunit ribosomal RNA
Source: RNAcentral